Long non-coding RNA from Marmota monax (woodchuck), 470 nucleotides. RefSeq lists it as uncharacterized. The record is from RefSeq and is a predicted model, not a curated record. Lineage: Eukaryota; Metazoa; Chordata; Mammalia; Rodentia; Sciuridae. The transcript has 3 exons.
UAGAUACCAUGGGGGGUGCAAAGAAAGAUGAAUAAAGCUCCCUGGAAUCAGAGAAAGCCAUCCAGGACAAGAGAAAGAGGGGUCUCCCUCUUCUCCGUCAGAAGGAAAGUGUGUACAAGAAAGCCAACUGAGAAAGGAAGCAUGCUUGCCUGCUGAGUCGGUAAAUAACCAACUUUCUGAGAGCCGAAGUUCAUGCAAUCCCAAGAUAGGCCGUGACCAUCAGAACGGAGGCAGAGUCAAAGUCAAGGGGAACAGAAGGAACCAGGACAAGGAAUUUUGUGAGCUGUUUUACAUCAUGUCAGCAGCCUGAAAUCAGCCACAGUGGGAUUUUUUGCAUUGCGGUAAUGUGCAAAACCUACAAAGCUGAGCUUCAUUCCCCCUCCUGAAUGGUUGCCAAACAUUUAUGGCCACACCAUUGUUGCAGCCAUCCACACAAUGAAGUGUUCCAGCAAGAGUGAAGGACCACUUGG